UAUUUUUGUGUUUAUUUAUUUCAGGAUGGAGCUAGAUGGGCAAAUGGGUCAUUUUAGAGGAGAAAAUUCAUUAAAACUUCAAGCUGGAUGGCAUUUUUGUAAUUUUGAGGUAUCAGUCAAGCGCCUAGGCGCUUGGAAUUGCACUAAGUUGAGCGCCUAGGCACUCAUACACACCCAUAGUUGAUUUUUUCUGCUGCUGAGUUAGAUUUUGAAGCCAAAUAGGAAUCUUGAUGAAGGUUUGGACCAAUACAAAUAGGAGAAUACUUUUCUCUUCUUUAGUUUUUAUUCUUUGUAAUUAUCUAGGAUGUUUGGAUUAUUAAUAUUGAU
This 327-nucleotide long non-coding RNA is filed under the name Panax ginseng (ginseng). Its description in RNAcentral is "long non-coding RNA (PGIN_LNC007493)". Lineage: Eukaryota; Viridiplantae; Streptophyta; Magnoliopsida; Apiales; Araliaceae. The record is from RNAcentral.